Molecule: ribosomal RNA, 218 nt
Filed under: Trichopygomyia depaquiti
Lineage: Eukaryota; Metazoa; Arthropoda; Insecta; Diptera; Psychodidae
Description: partial 16S ribosomal RNA
Source: RNAcentral
GAUCUUUAUAUAUAAAUUAAUUUUAUAAGAAUUAGUUAUAUUUUAUUUUAAGUUAAUGAUAUAUUAUAUUGGGGUAAUAAUAAAAUUUAAUUAAUUUUUAUUUAUAUUUUACAUUUAUGGAUGAUUAAAUGAUCCAAUAGUAUUGAUUAGAAAGUUAAGUUACCUUAGGGAUAACAGCAUAAUGAUUUUUGAGAGUUCUUAUUGAUAAAAUAGUUUGU